This 449-nucleotide ribosomal RNA is filed under the name uncultured bacterium. Its description in RNAcentral is "partial 16S ribosomal RNA". It matches the Rfam family "Bacterial small subunit ribosomal RNA", at positions 29 to 523 of the family's 1533-position model. The record is from RNAcentral.
AACGAACGCUGGCGGCAUGCCUAACACAUGCAAGUCGAACGAAGCCUUCGGGCUGAGUGGCGCACGGGUGCGUAACGCGAGGAAAUCUGCGCUUGGGUUCGGAAUAACAGUUGGAAACGUCUGCUAAUACCGGAUGAUGACGAAGGUCCAACGAAUUAUCGCGAGAGGAUGAGCCGGCGUAGGAUAAGCUAGCUGGUGUGGUAAAGGCGCACCAAGGCGACGCUCCUUAGCUGGUCUGAGAGGAUGAUCAGACACACUGGGAAUGAGACACGGUGCAGAAUCUUACAGGAGGCAGCAGUGGGUAAUAUUGGACAAUGGGCGAAGGGCUGAUCCAGCAAUGCCGCGUGAGUGAUGAAGGUCAUAGGGUUGUAAAGCUCUUUUACCCGGAAUGAUAAUGACAGUACCGGGAGAAUAAGCCCCUGCUAACUCCGUGCCAGCCGCCGCGGUAA